This 253-nucleotide ribosomal RNA is filed under the name uncultured bacterium. Its description in RNAcentral is "partial 16S ribosomal RNA". It matches the Rfam family "Bacterial small subunit ribosomal RNA", at positions 524 to 776 of the family's 1533-position model. The record is from RNAcentral.
UACGGAGGGUGCAAGCGUUAUCCGGAUUCACUGGGUUUAAAGGGUGCGUAGGCGGGUAUAUAAGUCAGUGGUGAAAGCUCCGAGCUUAACUUGGAAACUGCCAUUGAUACUGUAUAUCUUGAAUGUCGUUGAGGUUAGCGGAAUGUUGCAUGUAGCGGUGAAAUGCUUAGAUAUGUUACAGAACACCAAUUGUGAAGACAGCUAACUAAGCGAUGAUUGACGCUGAGGCACGAAAGCGUGGGGAGCAAACAGG